This 472-nucleotide ribosomal RNA is filed under the name uncultured Anoxybacillus sp. Its description in RNAcentral is "bacterial SSU rRNA". It matches the Rfam family "Bacterial small subunit ribosomal RNA", at positions 910 to 1382 of the family's 1533-position model. The record is from RNAcentral. Lineage: Bacteria; Bacillati; Bacillota; Bacilli; Caryophanales; Anoxybacillaceae.
UUGACGGGGGCCCGCACAAGCGGUGGAGCAUGUGGUUAAUUCGAAGCAACGCGAAGAACCUUACCAGGUCUUGACAUCCCCUGACAACCCGAGAGAUCGGGCGUUCCCCCUUCGGGGGACAGGGUGACAGGUGGUGCAUGGUUGUCGUCAGCUCGUGUCGUGAGAUGUUGGGUUAAGUCCCGCAACGAGCGCAACCCUCGACCUUAGUUGCCAGCAUUCAGUUGGGCACUCUAAGGUGACUGCCGGCUAAAAGUCGGAGGAAGGUGGGGAUGACGUCAAAUCAUCAUGCCCCUUAUGACCUGGGCUACACACGUGCUACAAUGGGCGGUACAAAGGGUCGCGAACCCGCGAGGGGGAGCCAAUCCCAAAAAGCCGCUCUCAGUUCGGAUUGCAGGCUGCAACUCGCCUGCAUGAAGCCGGAAUCGCUAGUAAUCGCGGAUCAGCAUGCCGCGGUCGAAUACGUUCCGGCCUU